Sitodiplosis mosellana (orange wheat blossom midge) is the source of this 2087-nucleotide RNA transcript. RefSeq lists it as uncharacterized. The record is from RefSeq and is a predicted model, not a curated record. Lineage: Eukaryota; Metazoa; Arthropoda; Insecta; Diptera; Cecidomyiidae. The transcript has 4 exons.
UAAAAACAAGAACAAGAUUAGAUUAAGCUUCCUAGGUCUGUUUACCAUAAAAUACUUCGCAUUUUCGAGCGUCUUGAUCGCCAAAUCUAGAAUUUUGAUCACUUUUUGGAUGACUACACUUUGUGGUGGAUUUAACCAAAAUGAACGGCAACGUUUGCACAAUUCAAUUAAGACUUUCUCAAAUGUAUAUUGACUAACGGCCGUAGGAGAUGAUAGCUUUUUUCUCCUCUUAGAUAAAUUUCCCGCAUCACUAUCACUAGUCUCCGUUUUGCGGUUUCUGGAACGAUUUGGUGUGUUGUUUAUUAUGUUCUCAUUAUCACUUGCCAUUUUUAAAACAAGGCAAAAAAAUUCCAGAUUAAUACUCAGACAAAUUUGUUAGCGUUGGUGCGUUGUGAACACAACAUAAAUAUGGUAUAUUCGGAAAUCGGCGAAUUCCGAAAGAAAUCUGAAUAUUUUUUUCUAAUAUUUUACAGUUCAUGCAAUCAAAUUACUCCUGGUUUUCCAUAAUUGACAAAAUAAAAUCAUUGUUCGUUCAGUGGAUGGUUAAAUGUCUAUCGAAUGAAUAUGAGACGCCGUCGCAAUGCAUGACAUUAGUCAAUGCACGGUUCAAUCUGUCAACGAAUUCUAAAUUGAAACAUUUCAAAUUAACUGAAUGUGAAAGAAACAAUAUUCGUCAAUCAACCCUUUUUUCGGUAUCUUUCAUUCAACAUCUCAAGCUGAAUGCAAUCAAUUUAUUCAUAUAAAACGGAUUGAUUCAAAUGCAAAGAAAACCUGAGCAUUUCCAAUAUGCAAACAACGAUUUAAAUGGCAUUUUUAAAUUAGCUACAGAGUUUAAUUGUUGAAAUUGAUUGUGCAUGAUCAAUAUUCAGUUCACGAUAGAAAAUAAAUAAAUAGUUCAGUGGUUUGAUUCAAGUUUAAACGUGGUGCUCGCAAUUAAUUUAGCAAACAGCUGUGGACACAAUACAUGAGGUCAUCUCUAAGCCUCAAAUAGAAUGUGGCCCAAACUAUUGGAAUUAACGCGUCCAGGUGCGCUUAGGCGUUUGGAAUUGGAGUCGUAUUCGAAUGUGGUGGGUGCAUUUCGAGCGCAGGGAACAUUGAAUGCCGUAAAAUUGAGAAUUUUAAAAGAUCUGCGGGAAGCAUUUCAUACAACUGAUGCCCGGCACAAGGCAAAAGUUAGACGAGUUGUGAACGAUGAAUCUCUAUCGACGAUAGCAAAAAUGUACAUUAAUUGAUGUUGCGGAUUUCUGGACCAAAUAGUGGAAUUGAAUGAAACAAAGAAGGCAGUCGAGGUUUCUUGAUAAUAAAUCGUAAACCAUCACAAACGGCUUUGCUUCGGUCGCUGAUAAAGCCAAUGAAUUGGGCGAAACAACCGUCCGACACUUCGAGAGAUAGUGUGUUUCAGGUGGACAACGAUGCAAAUGUUGCGGAUAAAAUCGUCGAUACUGAUCCAAGCAGCAACCAUCCGAAAGCAAAGAGUAAACCGGAGAAAGCGAGUGUAGCUGCGGUGCCGGCCAAAGCCGAUGCAAAUCGUGUGGAAUUGAGUUCUUCAGCGACAAGAAAGCAACGUGAAUCAAAUAAACAUUGCGCUCCAACGGAGCAGCCGGCCUUAAAAAUCCCCCCAACACAAACGCCGAAAGUGGAAAACGUACAAAUGCCAAUGCCAAAGCCAAGCACGGCAAAUAUUCGUCGACGCAAAAGUACAACAUCCUUGGCAAAUCACAAUGCACCAGCACCCAAAGCGAUGCUGCUAACAAGCCGACGAGAUACAAUGAUUGAAACGAGCCGGGAACGAAUUAGAGAGACACCACAUUCAAUAGAACAACUACAACCACCACUGGCACCAGAGCCAUUCCUAGCGGGGGUUCAAGGGGUUCAAAGAACCAGGGCGUAGGAGCACCGAAGGCGCUCGGGAGGCGCUUGAUAUUUUUAAAUUGUCGAAUUUACUGGAAAUAAGCGCGAGAGCGCUUUUCCCUUAAACUGAAAAUUUUCGAUGUUUUUAAAUGAGGCGUAAAAUUGCCGAAAGCGCUCGAACGCUCUUUUUUAUACAUAUUUCUUCUCAGUUCAGAAUUCAAGGGCGCCAAAGGGAA